CAGUCGCCGCGGGAACACGGAGGGUGCAAGCGUCAAUCGGAAUUACUGGGCGUAAAGCGUGCGUAGGCGGUUCGUUAAGUCUGUUGUGAAAGCCCCGGGCUCAACCUGGGAAUGGCAAUGGAUACUGGCGAGCUAGAGUGUGUCAGAGGAUGGUGGAAUUCCCGGUGUAGCGGUGAAAUGCGUAGAGAUCGGGAGGAACAUCAGUGGCGAAGGCGGCCAUCUGGGACAACACUGACGCUGAGGCACGAAAGCGUGGGGAGCAAACAGGAUUAGAUACCCCGGUAGUCCCUGUCUCUUAUAC
This 301-nucleotide ribosomal RNA is filed under the name uncultured bacterium. RNAcentral's name for it is "partial 16S ribosomal RNA". It matches the Rfam family "Bacterial small subunit ribosomal RNA", at positions 509 to 807 of the family's 1533-position model. The record is from RNAcentral.